RNAcentral lists this ribosomal RNA (760 nucleotides) under uncultured bacterium. RNAcentral's name for it is "bacterial SSU rRNA". It matches the Rfam family "Bacterial small subunit ribosomal RNA", at positions 28 to 776 of the family's 1533-position model. The record is from RNAcentral.
AUUGAACGCUGGCGGCAGGCUUAACACAUGCAAGUCGAACGGUAACAGAAGAAAAGCUUGCUUUUCUUGCUGACGAGUGGCGGACGGGUGAGUAAUGCUUGGGAAUCUGCUUAUGGAGGGGGAUAACUACGGGAAACUGUAGCUAAUACCGCGUAAUGUCUUCGGAUUAAAGUGUGGGACCUUCGGGCCACAUCCAUAAGAUGAGCCCAAGUGAGAUUAGGUAGUUGGUGAGGUAAAGGCUCACCAAGCUGACGAUCUCUAGCUGGUUUGAGAGGAUGACCAGCCACACUGGAACUGAGACACGGCCCAGACUCCUACGGGAGGCAGCAGUGGGGAAUAUUGCACAAUGGGCGCAAGCCUGAUGCAGCCAUGCCGCGUGAAUGAAGAAGGCUUUCGGGUUGUAAAGUUCUUUCAGCGAUGAGGAAGGUGCAUUAUCUAAUAGGUGAUGUAAUUGACGUUAGUCGCAGAAGAAGCACCGGCUAACUCCGUGCCAGCAGCCGCGGUAAUACGGAGGGUGCGAGCGUUAAUCGGAAUAACUGGGCGUAAAGGGCACGCAGGCGGUUGUCUAAGUCGGAUGUGAAAGCCCCGAGCUUAACUUGGGAAUUGCAUUUGAGACUGGGCGACUAGAGUCCUCUAGGGAGGGGUAGAAUUCCACGUGUAGCGGUGAAAUGCGUAGAGAUGUGGAGGAAUACCGAAGGCGAAGGCAGCCCCUUGGAGAGAGACCUGACGCUGAGGUGCGAAAGCGUGGGUAGCAAACAGG